RNAcentral lists this ribosomal RNA (254 nucleotides) under uncultured bacterium. Its description in RNAcentral is "partial 16S ribosomal RNA". It matches the Rfam family "Bacterial small subunit ribosomal RNA", at positions 524 to 776 of the family's 1533-position model. The record is from RNAcentral.
UACGGAGGGUGCGAGCGUUGUCCGGAAUCACUGGGCGUAAAGGGCGCGUAGGCGGCUCAUGAAGGCUGUGGUGAAAGUCCGGGGCUCAACCUCGGAUCGGCCGUGGCGACUCGUGGGCUGGAGCACUGUAGAGGCGGGUGGAAUUCCGGGUGUAGCGGUGGAAUGCGUAGAGAUCCGGAAGAACACCAGUGGCGAAGGCGGCCCGCUGGGCAGUGGGCUGACGCUGAAGCGCGACAGCGUGGGGAGCAAACAGG